Molecule: ribosomal RNA, 949 nt
Filed under: uncultured korarchaeote
Lineage: Archaea; Thermoproteati; Thermoproteota
Description: bacterial SSU rRNA
Rfam family: Archaeal small subunit ribosomal RNA
Source: RNAcentral
UAAGCCAUGCGAGUCGGCUGGGGGCCCUUGCCCCUGGCGGCGCACGGCUCAGUAAUACACGGUCAACCUGCCCUGGGGACCGGGAUAACCUCGGGAAACUGAGGCUAAUCCCGGAUAGGGGUGGAUUCCUGGAAUGGGUCCACCCCCAAAGUAGGCGGGGGAAUGGCCCCGCUGAGGCCCCAGGAUGGGACCGUGGCCCAUCAGGUAGUAGGUGGGGUAACGGCCCACCUAGCCUAAGACGGGUGCGGGCGGUGGGAGCCGGAGCCCGGAGAUGGGCACUGAGACAAGGGCCUAGGCCCUACGGGGCGCAGCAGGCGCGAAACUUCCCCAAUGCGCGCAAGCGUGAGGGAGUGAGCCCGAGUGCCGCCCGCUGAGGGCGGCUGUUCCCGGGUGUAAACAGCCCGGGGUAGGAAGGGGAGGGUAAGGCUGGUGCCAGCCGCCGCGGUAAAACCAGCUCCUCGAGGGGUCCCCACGCAUACUGGGCCUAAAGCGUCCGUAGCCGGCCCCGUAAGUCCCCGGUUAAAUCCACCGGAAGACCGGUGGGCCGCCGGGGAUACUGCGGGGCUAGGGAGCGGGAGGGGCCGAGGGUAUUCCGGGGGAUAGCGGUAAAAUGCGUAGAUCCCCGGAGGACCACCAGUGGCGAAGGCGCUCGGCUGGAACGCGUCCGACGGUGAGGGACGAAAGCUGGGGGAGCAAACCGGAUUAGAUACCCGGGUAGUCCCAGCCGUAAACGAUGCCGGCUAGGUGCCGGCCGAGGUUUCGGCCUCGGCCGGUGUCGAAGCGAAGGCGUUAAGCCGGCCGCCUGAGGAGUACGGCCGCGAGGCUGAAACUUGAAGGAGUUGACGGGGGGGCACCACAAGGGGUGAAUGCCUGCGGCUCAAUUGGACUCAACGCCGGGAAUCUUACCGGGGGCGACAGCAGGAUGAAGGUCAGGCUGAAGACCUUACCU